Long non-coding RNA from Camelus dromedarius (Arabian camel), 1536 nucleotides. RefSeq lists it as uncharacterized. NCBI's taxonomy places the organism in Eukaryota, Metazoa, Chordata, Mammalia, Artiodactyla, Camelidae. The record is from RefSeq and is a predicted model, not a curated record. The transcript has 6 exons.
GCUGCGGGGCGGCUGUGGGGCCGUCGGGCUGAGGGAAGCGGGCUGGCAGCCUCGGCGAGAUGGUUCCCCGCCUUGAAGACGGGGUUCCAGGGGCUCCUCCGACAGCCUGGGUCCUGGCAUAAGAUUGAUAUAGAGCACAGCUGCAUCUGGACCUUGAUGGACACUGUUCUGAACAAGAAAUGCAUUUGGAGUUAUAAGCAACUGCGAUGUUGAAGUCUUUUUUUAACUACAGCACAGCAUAACCUAGGCUGAUUGAUCCAAGAGUUCACAUGGCUGGAAAGAGUCCAGCAUAAGCGGUGAUGGCACAAGUUCUGGAAUCGGGUUGAUGGAGUUCAUCAUAUUCUGGCUCAGUCACUUCCUAGCUGUGUGACCUUGAGCAAGAACCCAUCCACCCAACCAUGGUGAGAGACCCACGUGGAGAGGACUGGGGGCUCCUUGCCCUUGGCCAUGCCUGAGCUCUUGGCUGGCCGCCAGCACCAACUGGCCAGCCAUGCAGUGGCACCUCCUGGAAGUGGCUCCUCCAGCCUCAGUGAAGUGGCCCCAGCUGACGCAACAUGGAACAGACAUGAGCCUUCUCUGUUGAUUGCUGACUGAGCUCAAAAUUCGUGAACUAAAACUUUGGCACGACUGGUUCGUGGACAGAGGAGACAGACCUGUCAGUUCCAUCUCUCCAGGCUGCCCAGGCUGAAGGCGUGAUCUCUCGGCACAUCUGUAUCUCAACAGCUCUGUACCAAAGUGCUGUGGCAGGCGGCAACGUUGGGGAUCUUCAAACCUUGACAGGAGGACACGAAGCCUUGGCACAGAGAUGGCUUUGAAAAUGGAUCCUGAGGGCUUUAAACACCCAGCAGAGAAGAAUUUGUGCUGUAAAAGCCUUUCCGCUUCUGCUCGGUGUAAUGGAAACUCUGGACCAGAACUCCGGAGAUCUAGGUAACGCUGAGCAAGUCAGGUAAACUCUCUGAGUUUCAUUUCCUUUCUGUAAAAUGGGGCUGAUAUUCCCCCCACCCCUUGGCUAAUGCCUCCCUGCGAUCAAUGAAAUAACACACCUGGAAGGACACUGAAGACAGAGAUGGAGGUUGAGAAUGCAGACUCUCGAGUCAUCCAACCUCUGUGGCUUUCCUGGUGGCUCUUGGGUCAUCUUGAUCCUAUAACUUGCCCUUGGACCUUCCGCUUCCAAAAGGGGGAUAAUAUCCCUGCCUUUAUGACUGAUUAAAGCAUGAGAUGGGAUCAUGCCUUCAAAAGAGCAUACAGUGCCUGGUACAUAAUGAGAUCGCAAUAAGUAAGAGCUAUUAUUUGUAAAGUGUCACUCGAAUGUGAUAGUUCUUUAAGAAAGAGCUAGAUUUUCUUUCCCCCCCCCCUGAGGUUACUUAAGGAUUUCCUUCCAUUCCAUAGCUGCUGUUUUUCCUCUCCUGGCCUUUCUGUUCUUAGCAAGACCCAAUUGCCCUGUCUCUGAGAGACAAAUAGGGGCCUCAGUGCGAGAAUCAAGGCUGCAGAAAAGGGGUGAGAACAUGAGAUCCGGCUUGGAGUUUGAUGGGAAGC